RNAcentral lists this ribosomal RNA (253 nucleotides) under uncultured bacterium. RNAcentral's name for it is "partial 16S ribosomal RNA". It matches the Rfam family "Bacterial small subunit ribosomal RNA", at positions 524 to 776 of the family's 1533-position model. The record is from RNAcentral.
GACAAAGGAUGCAAGCGUUAUCCGGAAUGAUUGGGCGUAAAGCGUAUGUAGGUGGCUUUUUAAGUCCGCCGUCAAAUCCCAGGGCUCAACCCUGGACAGGCGGUGGAAAGUACCAAGCUGGAGUACGGUAGGGGCAGAGGGAAUUUCCGAUGGAGCGGUAAAAUGCGUAGAGAUCGGAAAGAACACCAACAGCGAAAGCACUCUGCUGGGCCGACACUGACACUGAGAGACGAAAGCUAGGGGAGUGAAUAGG